This 429-nucleotide ribosomal RNA is filed under the name Bacillota bacterium. RNAcentral's name for it is "Firmicutes bacterium partial 16S ribosomal RNA". It matches the Rfam family "Bacterial small subunit ribosomal RNA", at positions 355 to 776 of the family's 1533-position model. Lineage: Bacteria; Bacillati; Bacillota. The record is from RNAcentral.
UGGGGAAUUUUGGACAAUGGGCGCAAGCCUGAUCCAGCAAUGCCGCGUGUGUGAAGAAGGCCUUCGGGUUGUCAAGCACUUUUGUCCGGAAAGAAAACCUCGUGGUUAAUACCCGUGGGGGAUGACGGUACCGGAAGAAUAAGCACCGGCUAACUACGUGCCAGCAGCCGCGGUAAUACGUAGGGUGCAAGCGUUAAUCGGAAUUACUGGGCGUAAAGCGUGCGCAGGCGGUUCGCUAAGACAGAUGUGAAAUCCCCGGGCUUAACCUGGGAACUGCAUUUCUGACUGGCAGGCUGGAGUAUGGCAGAGGGAGGUAGAAUUCCACGUGGAGCAGUGAAGUGCAUAGAGAUGUGGAGGAAUACCGAUGGCGAAGGCAGCCCCCUGGGCCAAUACUGACGCUCAUGCACGAAAGCGUGGGGAGCAAACAGG